Molecule: transfer RNA, 75 nt
Filed under: Armatimonadota bacterium
Lineage: Bacteria; Bacillati; Armatimonadota
Also listed under: 1 other name
Description: Armatimonadetes bacterium (soil metagenome) tRNA-Asn
Rfam family: tRNA
About the family: Transfer RNA (tRNA) molecules are approximately 80 nucleotides in length. Their secondary structure includes four short double-helical elements and three loops (D, anti-codon, and T loops).
Source: RNAcentral
UGCCGCAUAGCUCAGUGGUAGAGCAGCUGACUGUUAAUCAGCGGGUCGUAGGUUCGAGUCCUACUGCGGCAGCCA